UACAGAGACUGCGAGCGUUAUUCGGAUUCACUGGGCGUAAAGGGUGCGCAGGCGGCCAAGUGUGUGAGGCGUGAAAGCCUGGAGCUUAACUCCAGAAUUGCACCUCAAACUACAUGGCUAGAGCAUUGGAGAGGGUAGCGGAAUUCACGAUGUAGCAGUGAAAUGCGUAGAUAUGUGGAGGAACACCGAUGGCGAAGGCAGCCUUCUGGGCCAACACUGACGCUCAUGCACGAAAGCGUGGGGAGCAAACAGG
This 253-nucleotide ribosomal RNA is filed under the name uncultured bacterium. Its description in RNAcentral is "partial 16S ribosomal RNA". It matches the Rfam family "Bacterial small subunit ribosomal RNA", at positions 524 to 776 of the family's 1533-position model. The record is from RNAcentral.